GAUGAAGAACGCAGCGAAAUGCGAUAAGUAAUGUGAAUUGCAGAAUUCAGUGAAUCAUCGAAUCUUUGAACGCACAUUGCGCCCGCCAGUAUUCUGGCGGGCAUGCCUGUUCGAGCGUCAUUUCAACCCUCAGGCCCCCAGUGCCUGGCGUUGGGGAUCGGCGUGGGCGGCGAACGGCUCUCCGGAGCCCGAGCCAAUGCCUGCCGGCCCCGAAAUUCAGUGGCGGUCUCGCUGUAGUCCCCUUCUGCGUAGUAGCACAACUCGCAUUGGAGCUCGGCGGUGGCCAUGCCGUAAAACACCCCACUUCUGAAAGUUGACCUCGGAUCAGGUAGGAAUACCCGCUGAACUUAAGCAUAUCAAUAAGCGGAGGA
Molecule: unclassified non-coding RNA, 371 nt
Filed under: soil metagenome
Description: partial contains 5.8S ribosomal RNA, internal transcribed spacer 2, and large subunit ribosomal RNA
Rfam family: 5.8S ribosomal RNA (bases 1-120)
Source: RNAcentral